This is a long non-coding RNA of Exaiptasia diaphana, 182 nucleotides long. RefSeq lists it as uncharacterized. The record is from RefSeq and is a predicted model, not a curated record. NCBI's taxonomy places the organism in Eukaryota, Metazoa, Cnidaria, Anthozoa, Actiniaria, Aiptasiidae. The transcript is spliced from 5 exons.
UUUCAUUAUUCUGUUUUAGUUUCAGAAGAGCUGUCAGGCGCUACAGGAGAAUCAGGAGGAGGUUCGUCAGAAGAUACAGAAGAAUCAGGAGGCGUGUCGUGAGACGGUACAGGAGAAUCAGGAGGCGGGUCGUGAGACGGUACAGGAGAAUCAGGAGGCGGGUCGUGAGACGGUACAGGAGG